GUUUUUAUAGUUUAAAAAAACAUUGGUCUUGUAAACCAAAGAUAAAUUAUUUUUUAAAAACU
This 62-nucleotide transfer RNA is filed under the name Euplax sp. RNAcentral describes it as "tRNA-Thr". It matches the Rfam family "tRNA". From Rfam's summary of the family: Transfer RNA (tRNA) molecules are approximately 80 nucleotides in length. Lineage: Eukaryota; Metazoa; Arthropoda; Malacostraca; Decapoda; Macrophthalmidae. The record is from RNAcentral.